GACGAACGCUGGCGGCGUGCUUAACACAUGCAAGUCGAACGGAAAGGCCUGCAGCUUGCUGCGGGUACUCGAGUGGCGAACGGGUGAGUAACACGUGGGUGAUCUGCCUUGCACUUCGGGAUAAGCUUGGGAAACUGGGUCUAAUACCGGAUAGGACAGCUGUUUAGUGUCAGUUGUGGAAAGUUUUUUCGGUGCAAGAUGAGCUUGCGGCCUAUCAGCUUGUUGGUGGGGUAAUGGCCUACCAAGGCGUCGACGGGUAGCCGGCCUGAGAGGGUGUACGGCCACAUUGGGACUGAGAUACGGCCCAGACUCCUACGGGAGGCAGCAGUGGGGAAUAUUGCACAAUGGGCGGAAGCCUGAUGCAGCGACGCCGCGUGGGGGAUGAAGGCCUUCGGGUUGUAAACUCCUUUCGACAGGGACGAAGCUUUUGUGACGGUACCUGUAUAAGAAGCACCGGCUAACUACGUGCCAGCAGCCGCGGUAAUACGUAGGGUGCGAGCGUUGUCCGGAAUUACUGGGCGUAAAGAGCUCGUAGGUGGUUUGUCGCGUCGUCUGUGAAAUUCCGGGGCUUAACUUCGGGCGUGCAGGCGAUACGGGCUGACUUGAGUGCUGUAGGGGAGACUGGAAUUCCUGGUGUAGCGGUGAAAUGCGCAGAUAUCAGGAGGAACACCGAUGGCGAAGGCAGGUCUCUGGGCAGUAACUGACGCUGAGGAGCGAAAGCAUGGGUAGCGAACAGGAUUAGAUACCCUGGUAGUCCAUGCCGUAAACGGUGGGCGCUAGGUGUAGGGGGCUUCCACGUCUUCUGUGCCGUAGCUAACGCAUUAAGCGCCCCGCCUGGGGAGUACGGCCGCAAGGCUAAAACUCAAAGGAAUUGACGGGGGCCCGCACAAGCGGCGGAGCAUGUGGUUUAAUUCGAAGCAACGCGAAGAACCUUACCAGGUCUUGACAUCCUUCUGACCGGCCUAGAGAUAGGCUUUCUCUUCGGAGCAGAAGUGACAGGUGGUGCAUGGUUGUCGUCAGCUCGUGUCGUGAGAUGUUGGGUUAAGUCCCGCAACGAGCGCAACCCCUAUUGUUAGUUGCCAUCAUUAAGUUGGGCACUCUAGCGAGACUGCCGGUAAUAAACCGGAGGAAGGUGGGGAUGACGUCAAAUCAUCAUGCCCCUUAUGACCUGGGCUACACACGUGCUACAAUGGUUGGUACAACGAGUCGCAAGCCGGUGACGGCAAGCUAAUCUCUUAAAGCCAAUCUCAGUUCGGAUUGUAGGCUGCAACUCGCCUACAUGAAGUCGGAAUCGCUAGUAAUCGCGGAUCAGCACGCCGCGGUGAAUACGUUCCCGGGCCU
This 1341-nucleotide ribosomal RNA is filed under the name uncultured bacterium. RNAcentral describes it as "partial 16S ribosomal RNA". It matches the Rfam family "Bacterial small subunit ribosomal RNA", at positions 28 to 1381 of the family's 1533-position model. The record is from RNAcentral.